RNAcentral lists this ribosomal RNA (492 nucleotides) under uncultured bacterium. RNAcentral describes it as "partial 16S ribosomal RNA". It matches the Rfam family "Bacterial small subunit ribosomal RNA", at positions 29 to 507 of the family's 1533-position model. The record is from RNAcentral.
AGUGAACGCUGGCGGUAGGCCUAACACAUGCCAGUCGAACGGCAGCACAGUAAGAGCUUGCUCUUACGGGUGGCGAGUGGCGGGUGGGUGAGGCAUACAUCGGAAUCUACUUUUUCGUGGGGGAUAACGUAGGGAAACUUACGCUACUACCUCAUACGACCUACGGGUGAAUGCAGGGGAUCUUCGGACCUUGCGCGAUUGAAUGAGCCGAUGUCGGAUUAGUUAGUUGGCGGGGUAAAGGCCCACCAAGGCGACGAUCCGUAGCUGGUCUGAGAGGAGGAUCGGCGACACUGGAACUGAGACACGGUCCAGACUCCUACGGGAGGCAGCAGUGGGGAAUAUUGGACAAUGGGCGCAAGCCUGAUCCAGCCAUACCGCGUGAGUGAAAAAGGCCUUCGGGUUGUAAAGCCCGUUUGUUGGGAAAGAAAAGCAGCAGGUUGAUACCCCGCUGUUCUGACGGUACCCGAAGAAUAAGCACCGGCUAACUACGUG